RNAcentral lists this ribosomal RNA (1372 nucleotides) under uncultured bacterium. RNAcentral's name for it is "bacterial SSU rRNA". It matches the Rfam family "Bacterial small subunit ribosomal RNA", at positions 28 to 1381 of the family's 1533-position model. The record is from RNAcentral.
GAUGAACGCUGGCGGCGUGCCUAAUACAUGCAAGUCGAGCGAACGGACGAGAAGCUUGCUUCUCUGAUGUUAGCGGCGGACGGGUGAGUAACACGUGGAUAACCUACCUAUAAGACUGGGAUAACUUCGGGAAACCGGAGCUAAUACCGGAUAGUAUUUUGAACCGCAUGGUUCAAAAGUGAAAGACGGUCUUGCUGUCACUUAUAGAUGGAUCCGCGCUGCAUUAGCUAGUUGGUAAGGUAACGGCUUACCAAGGCAACGAUGCAUAGCCGACCUGAGAGGGUGAUCGGCCACACUGGAACUGAGACACGGUCCAGACUCCUACGGGAGGCAGCAGUAGGGAAUCUUCCGCAAUGGGCGAAAGCCUGACGGAGCAACGCCGCGUGAGUGAUGAAGGUCUUCGGAUCGUAAAACUCUGUUAUUAGGGAAGAACAUAUGUGUAAGUAACUGUGCACAUCUUGACGGUACCUAAUCAGAAAGCCACGGCUAACUACGUGCCAGCAGCCGCGGUAAUACGUAGGUGGCAAGCGUUAUCCGGAAUUAUUGGGCGUAAAGCGCGCGUAGGCGGUUUUUUAAGUCUGAUGUGAAAGCCCACGGCUCAACCGUGGAGGGUCAUUGGAAACUGGAAAACUUGAGUGCAGAAGAGGAAAGUGGAAUUCCAUGUGUAGCGGUGAAAUGCGCAGAGAUAUGGAGGAACACCAGUGGCGAAGGCGACUUUCUGGUCUGUAACUGACGCUGAUGUGCGAAAGCGUGGGGAUCAAACAGGAUUAGAUACCCUGGUAGUCCACGCCGUAAACGAUGAGUGCUAAGUGUUAGGGGGUUUCCGCCCCUUAGUGCUGCAGCUAACGCAUUAAGCACUCCGCCUGGGGAGUACGACCGCAAGGUUGAAACUCAAAGGAAUUGACGGGGACCCGCGCAAGCGGUGGAGCAUGUGGUUUAAUUCGAAGCAACGCGAAGAACCUUACCAAAUCUUGACAUCCUUUGACAACUCUAGAGAUAGAGCCUUCCCCUUCGGGGGACAAAGUGACAGGUGGUGCAUGGUUGUCGUCAGCUCGUGUCGUGAGAUGUUGGGUUAAGUCCCGCAACGAGCGCAACCCUUAAGCUUAGUUGCCAUCAUUAAGUUGGGCACUCUAAGUUGACUGCCGGUGACAAACCGGAGGAAGGUGGGGAUGACGUCAAAUCAUCAUGCCCCUUAUGAUUUGGGCUACACACGUGCUACAAUGGACAAUACAAAGGGCAGCGAAACCGCGAGGUCAAGCAAAUCCCAUAAAGUUGUUCUCAGUUCGGAUUGUAGUCUGCAACUCGACUACAUGAAGCUGGAAUCGCUAGUAAUCGUAGAUCAGCAUGCUACGGUGAAUACGUUCCCGGGUCU